RNAcentral lists this transfer RNA (65 nucleotides) under Dipodomys ordii (Ord's kangaroo rat). It matches the Rfam family "tRNA". From Rfam's summary of the family: Transfer RNA (tRNA) molecules are approximately 80 nucleotides in length. Their secondary structure includes four short double-helical elements and three loops (D, anti-codon, and T loops). Further hydrogen bonds mediate the characteristic L-shaped molecular structure. tRNAs have two regions of fundamental functional importance: the anti-codon, which is responsible for specific mRNA codon recognition, and the 3' end, to which the tRNAs corresponding amino acid is attached (by aminoacyl-tRNA synthetases). tRNAs cope with the degeneracy of the genetic code in two manners: having more than one tRNA (with a specific anti-codon) for a particular amino acid; and 'wobble' base-pairing, i.e. permitting non-standard base-pairing at the 3rd anti-codon position. The record is from Rfam by way of RNAcentral. Lineage: Eukaryota; Metazoa; Chordata; Mammalia; Rodentia; Heteromyidae.
GGUGGCUCAGUGGUAGAGUGCUUGCCUCACAUGCAUGAGGACCUGGGUUCGAUUCCUCAGCACCA